UACAGAGACCUCAAGCGUUAUCCGGAAUCAUUGGGCGUAAAGCGUACCGAUAGGUGGUUUUACAAGUCAGAAGUGAAAUUCCAAAGCUUAACUUUGGGUCUGUCUUUUGAUACUGUAAAACUAGAAGGGCAAAGAGGAAGCUGGAACAAACGGUGUAGUAGUGAAAUGCGUUGAUAUCGUUUGGAACACCAAUAGCGUAGGCAGGCUUCUGGGUGCCACUUGACACUGCUAGGACGAAAGCGUGGGGAGCGAUAAGG
Molecule: ribosomal RNA, 257 nt
Filed under: uncultured bacterium
Lineage: Bacteria
Description: partial 16S ribosomal RNA
Rfam family: Bacterial small subunit ribosomal RNA
Source: RNAcentral